GAUGAACGCUAGCGGCAGGCUUAAUACAUGCAAGUCGAGGGGGCAGCAAUGUCACCGGCGAACGGGUGCGUAACGCGUAUGCAACCUACCUACAUCAGGGGGAUAGCCCUAGGAAACUGGGAUUAACACCGCAUAACAUAUUUAACGGCAUCGUUAGAUAUUGAAAUAUUUAUAGGAUGUAGAUGGGCAUGCGUAGGAUUAGCUAGUUGGUAAGGUAACGGCUUACCAAGGCUACGAUCCUUAGGGGCUCUGAGAGGAGUAUCCCCCACACUGGCACUGAGAUACGGGCCAGACUCCUACGGGAGGCAGCAGUAGGGAAUAUUGGGCAAUGGAGGCAACUCUGACCCAGCCAUGCCGCGUGCAGGAAGACGGUCCUCUGGAUUGUAAACUGCUUUUGAAUGGGAAGAAUGUGUGGCUUGUGAGCUAUAAUGACGGUACCAUUAGAAUAAGCCACGGCUAACUACGUG
This 467-nucleotide ribosomal RNA is filed under the name uncultured bacterium. RNAcentral describes it as "bacterial SSU rRNA". It matches the Rfam family "Bacterial small subunit ribosomal RNA", at positions 28 to 507 of the family's 1533-position model. The record is from RNAcentral.